Molecule: ribosomal RNA, 429 nt
Filed under: Actinomycetes bacterium
Lineage: Bacteria; Bacillati; Actinomycetota; Actinomycetes
Description: Actinobacteria bacterium partial 16S ribosomal RNA
Rfam family: Bacterial small subunit ribosomal RNA
Source: RNAcentral
UAGGGAAUCUUCCGCAAUGGGCGAAAGCCUGACGGAGCAACGCCGCGUGAGUGAUGAAGGUCUUCGGAUCGUAAAACUCUGUUAUUAGGGAAGAACAAAUGGGUAAGUAACUAUGCAUGUGUUGACGGUACCUAAUCAGAAGGCCACGGCUCACUACGUGCCAGCAGCCGCGGUAAUACGUAGGUGGCAAGCGUUAUUCGGAAUUAUUGGGCGUAAAGCGCGCGUAGGCGGUUUUUUAAGUCUGAUGUGAAAGCCCGCGGCUCAACCGUGGAGGGUCGUUGGAAACUGGAAAACUUGAGUGCAGAAGAGGGAAGUGGAAUUCCAUGUGUAGCGGUGAAAUGCGCAGAGAUAUGGAGGAACACCAGUGGCGAAGGCGACUUUCUGGUCUGUAACUGACGCUGAUGUGCGAAAGCGUGGGGAUCAAACGGG